GACGAACGCUGGCGGCGUGCUUAACACAUGCAAGUCGAACGGAAAGGCCCUGCUCUUGUGGGGUUCUCGAUUGGCGAACGGGGGAGUAACACGUGAGUAACCUCCCCUUGUCUUUGUGAUAACUUCAGGAAACUGGGGCUAAUACCGGAUAGGAGCUCCUGCUGCACGUGGGGGGUUGGAAAGUUUCGGCGGUUGGGGAUGGACUCGCGGCUUAUCAGCUUGUUUGUGAGGUAGUGGCUUACCAAGGCUUUGACGGGUAGGCGGCCUGGGAGGGUUGCCGGCCACAUUGGGACUGAGAUACGGCCCAGACUCCUACGGGAGGCAGCAGGGGGGAGUAUUGCACAAUGGGCGGAAGCCUGAUGCAGCAACGCCGCGUGCGGGAUGAUGGCCUUCGGGUUGUAAACCGCUUUCGCCUGUGACGAAGCGUGAGUGACGGUAAUGGGUAAAGAAGCACCGGCUAACUACGUG
This 468-nucleotide ribosomal RNA is filed under the name uncultured bacterium. RNAcentral describes it as "partial 16S ribosomal RNA". It matches the Rfam family "Bacterial small subunit ribosomal RNA", at positions 28 to 507 of the family's 1533-position model. The record is from RNAcentral.